RNAcentral lists this ribosomal RNA (669 nucleotides) under Triticum aestivum (bread wheat). Its description in RNAcentral is "partial small subunit ribosomal RNA". The record is from RNAcentral. Lineage: Eukaryota; Viridiplantae; Streptophyta; Magnoliopsida; Poales; Poaceae.
AUGGCCGGACGAGAUACCGGCCUCACAGGAGGAGGAGAAGAGCAACCCCGCGAGCGCCGGCCGUACCUCGCCUCCCAGUGCCGGGACCUCGCCAACGCGGACCGCUGGCGUGGCGAGAUCCUACGCGAGAUCGGCGCCAAGUUGGCCGAGAUCCAGAACGAGGGCCUCGGGGAGCACCACCUCUCAGAUCUCAACGACCAAAUCAACAAGCUUCUCCACGAGCGCGGCCACUGGGAGCGCCUCAUCCUCGAGCUCGGAGGCCACGACUACUCUCGGAGCUCCAACGUCGCCCUGAUGACCAACCUCGACGGCAACAUCAUCGCCAUCCCCAACCCCUCGGGUCGUGGACCAGGCUACCGCUACUUUGGCGCUGCCAAGAACCUCCCCGGCAUCCACGAGCUAUUUGACAAGCCACCUGAGGUCCGCAAGCGCGGCACCCGCUACGGGAUCCACAAGCGCAUCAGUGGCGGGGCAUUCUACACAAUUGUUUCCCUCCCACUAAACCUGAAGUUAUUAGCCCUACACAAUGGAGUUAUUCAUGUUGAUCUUAACCUUGAUGGGACCUGCAUCCUUGAUCCCAGGCUUAUUAAUCUUGGUGGACUCGAUGAGGUCAAUGUUGGCAAUACUGCCAUCACGAAGCCACAUUUUAUAAUGGAAGCAACAUGGUGA